RNAcentral lists this ribosomal RNA (791 nucleotides) under uncultured organism. RNAcentral's name for it is "bacterial SSU rRNA". It matches the Rfam family "Bacterial small subunit ribosomal RNA", at positions 17 to 823 of the family's 1533-position model. The record is from RNAcentral.
UCCUGGCUCAGAACGAACGCUGGCGGCGCGCUUACACAUGCAAGUCGAGCGAGAAAGCCCCUUCGGGGGUGAGUACAGCGGCGCACGGGUGAGUAACACGUGGACAAUCUACCUCGAAGCGGGGGAUAACUUCGCGAAAGUGGGGCUAAUACCGCAUAAUCUUCUUUUGCCGAGGUGAAAGGAGGAAAGGUUACCGCUUUGAGAUGAGUCUGCGGCCCAUCAGCUAGUUGGUAGGGUAACGGCCUACCAAGGCGACGACGGGUAGCUGGCCUGAGAGGGUAACCAGCCACACUGGAACUGGAACACGGUCCAGACUCCUACGGGAGGCAGCAGUGGGGAAUCUUGCGCAAUGGGGGAAACCCUGACGCAGCGACGCCGCGUGGGUGAAGAAGGCCUUCGGGUUGUAAAGCCCUGUCGCAGAGGAAGAAAAGGCAACUUGACGGUACUCUGUGAGAAAGCACAGGCUAACUCCGUGCCAGCAGCCGCGGUAACACGGAGUGUGCGAGCGUUGUUCGGAAUCACUGGGCGUAAAGCGAUUGUAGGCGAAUUAGUAAGUGUUGGGUUAAAGUCCAAGGCUCAACCUUGGAAAAGCUCAGCAUACUGCUAGUAUAGAGUUUGUUCGGGGAGACUGGAAUUCUCGGUGGAGGGGUGAAAUCCGUUGAUAUCGAGAGGAACGCCAAGGGCGAAGGCAUGUCUCUAGAGCAACACUGACGCUGAGGGACGAAAGUUAGGGUAGCAAAGCGGAUUAGAGACCCGUGUAGUCCUAACCGUAAACGAUGAAUACUAGUUGU